GGCUGCAUCAUAGAGACGUCAUUAGCCAGCCCAGAAUUAGCCAGAGAUCUUGGUGGCUAAUGUAAUUCUGUGCAAAAUUGGCAUCAGACACCAGCACGCACAGCAUGCUGGCACUCAGACAGCCAACAGCACUACAGUACAGAUUCCUCCUCCCAGCCCGUCAUCUCUCUCAGGCAACAAGAUGGAGUGACAACAGUGGGGGAAGAUCAUGAGGGAGAACCUGGCUUUGGCGUUUCAGAUUAAGUUUUCAGGUAGGUUUUAGCAAAUACAUUUUUGUUGUUUGUGGUUACAGACCUGCA
This is a non-coding RNA of Pelobates cultripes (western spadefoot toad), 299 nucleotides long. NCBI's taxonomy places the organism in Eukaryota, Metazoa, Chordata, Amphibia, Anura, Pelobatidae. The record is from the annotation of a GenBank genome assembly.